This is a long non-coding RNA of Malurus melanocephalus (red-backed fairy wren), 1739 nucleotides long. RefSeq lists it as uncharacterized. The transcript has 2 exons. NCBI's taxonomy places the organism in Eukaryota, Metazoa, Chordata, Aves, Passeriformes, Maluridae. The record is from RefSeq and is a predicted model, not a curated record.
UGCUCUGAAAGUACCAGAAAGGCAGUGGCACUGAACUGAUCUGAGUACCAGCAUUUGGCGUGCUCCCCAGAGCUGUCUGAGCAAACAAGGCAAAGGGGAAAAAGCCUGUCCCUCCCUCUCUCCACCUGCCCAGUGACUCAGAACAACUAGAAAUGGCAGCUUAACUCUCAGAAUACAGACCGAUAUAUCCAGCACUCAGCGUGAGGGCAUCAGGAGUGCCAAGAAAGAAAGAAAAAAAAAGACGUACAAACCUUCUGCACUCCURGUGUGAUAAUUUGGGCAGCCUGACUGAGAGUAAGUGAUAAAUUCUGGUUGAAGUGAUAAAGUUCCAGGUACAAAAAAUCUGCAUGGCAUGGCCUGCUUUUAAGGAGAUACAGAAUUUAACAUGGCUGAUAAGGGGUCUGACACGGGCUUCCCAGUCAGGAGCAAGAGAUAGUUGCUUAUUCCCAUAGAACUACUUUGGGAGAGUAGAUUUGCUGUAACCAAAGAGCCAGAUUGCUCUGAACAUCUUGGCAAAUGGCAUCCACCAUGUAGGGGAACCAUGGUGCAGGGAAGAAAGCACGCUGAUACCGUCAGAACUGCAAAAAGCUUGGAAGAGAAACCUGACAGAAUUAAUAGCUGGGGGCAGGAGAGGGAGGAGCAGCUGAGAUAGCUGAAGGGCCAGUGACAGCUAAAGCCAGCUGCAGCAGAGAGAAUUACUUAUGAGAGGAGAUAAUCACAAGUUGUGUGCUUUUCACUCUUAUCCAAAUGGUUGGAGCAGGUAGAAGAGGCAUUUAAGCCAGAGAGUAAUGAGAAGAAAUGGUACUAACCUUAAGGGAAUAGCUGAAAUCCUGGAAGGGGCACAAAACAAAAAAAGGUCUUGGGGCUCUGCAUCCCAAGACUGCACAAAGACAACUGCGUUGAUGUAGCACACGCUCUGCUUAGACUUCAAGGGCUUGAAGGACUACAGGGUGCACUAAGCUAAGACCCUGAUUUAACCAUCUGAGGAAGUGUACACACCCAUGGGGAACUCGGUUCUGCCUCUACACAAAGGCGCCUGUUCUCAGAUCUCUGCUGAGCCAACAGACUGCUUUUAGUCUGUGCUGGUAUUUGACAAACAAGCAGCCUCUGGUUUCCAGCAUGCAAAUGGCCAAUAGCCCAGAACACAAUAGUCGGUUUCCCGUUACAGAAGGGAAGGCUUUAACUUAUUCACAAGAACAGGAUAGCGAGUCAAAUAGCUUAGUAGGUUUUAGAAAGGGAUUGGAUGUUUGCACGGUGAAACAACAUCCACAGCCGUAUUAGCCAGGAUAAGGGUUACAAGCUCAGCGAUCCUCAYGCUACAGGACAAAAUGAUCAGUGGCUGGGAUCAUAGGCAGACAAAAGCAAUAGCCAUUCCCUGAAGCUCCUUGCAGCAAGGUCACGUGGCUAUAAGCAGACACUGUCAGAAACCAGAUAACCCAUUGUGAAGUGCUAGCCGGGCUAAUCCUCCAUGUCCCCAGAAAGCUCCAGAGAGGCUAGGCACCAAAUUAACCAAAGAGAAAUCCUUAUUGUACAAAAAAUAAAAACCCAAAAGUUUUAUUGGUAUGCAUCCCACAGAAAAGGUUACAAGAAAGGCCUUGGAUUAAUAUGUCAAAGAAAACACGGAAGGCGUCAGCCAUGAGCAAGUUCCUUACAAAACAGGGCAGCAUGGAAAUAUACUGGAGGAAGAGAGGAGGGGAUCAGAUUGGUGCUCUCUUCUUCGAUACUCAUGGACAGGGCAA